This 405-nucleotide transfer-messenger RNA is filed under the name Actinospica robiniae. Its description in RNAcentral is "Standard tmRNA". It matches the Rfam family "transfer-messenger RNA". From Rfam's summary of the family: Bacterial tmRNA, also known as 10Sa RNA or SsrA, is named for its dual tRNA and mRNA-like properties. Its role is to liberate the mRNA from a stalled ribosome. RNAcentral also lists the same sequence under 1 other name. Lineage: Bacteria; Bacillati; Actinomycetota; Actinomycetes; Catenulisporales; Actinospicaceae. The record is from RNAcentral.
GGGGGUGAACGGUUUCGACAUUGGACGUUGACGCAGGGGAAGCGGGCCGAGGAAGCCGUGAUGAUCUCGUUAACCAAAAACACGGCAAAAAAACAAAUGCCAACUCUAAGCAGAUGGCCAAGGCCGACCUCCGUCUCGCUGCCUGAUCUAGUUCUCUAGAAACGCAGUGAGGCGCUGGCACAGCGCCUUUGUCGCCCCAGGAUCGCCCCCGACCUGGACGCGGCAUCGCUAGGGGGCUAAACCUCAUGAGCAGGCUACGGGCGAAUGAGGGAAACUCACGUGGCUGGGCUUGUCGGUGACCCGUCCCGGGGAUCACCGGAGCCGAGAAACUCGCACGGGACUACGCCCGUAGAAGCCUUGCUGAGCCGCUGAUGGACCCGGGUUCGAUUCCCGGCACCUCCACGC